UACGGGGGGGGCAAGCGUUGUUCGGAAUUACUGGGCGUAAAGGGCUCGUAGGCGGCCAACUAAGUCUGACGUGAAAUCCCUCGGCUUAACCGGGGAACUGCGUCCGAUACUGGAUGGCUUGAGUGCGGGAGAGGGAUGCGGAAUUCCAGGUGUAGCGGUGAAAUGCGUAGAUAUCUGGAGGAACACCGGUGGCGAAGGCGGCAUCCUGGACCACGACUGACGCUGAGGAGCGAAAGCGUGGGUAGCGAACAGG
This 253-nucleotide ribosomal RNA is filed under the name uncultured bacterium. RNAcentral describes it as "partial 16S ribosomal RNA". It matches the Rfam family "Bacterial small subunit ribosomal RNA", at positions 524 to 776 of the family's 1533-position model. The record is from RNAcentral.